GUCUAAAAUCCGUACAUUAUAAAGACUAACGAUUAACACUUAAGAGCUGAAAGGGAGGCGGUACAAAUAUCACUUCUAAAUCCCAACCACUGAUCUCACAAUUUCCCGACCACUUUCACGUACAAAACCAUUUUCCCAGCAAACAAAAACCUUAUCUUUUUCAAUACACCAUGAAACACACUUUUACAACACAAACCUGUGUCACCUAAACCAAUCACCCUGAAACAUAACCUUCAUCGAAAUCUCUCACCAUGAACACCAACCAUGCUAACACCAUCUUCAAUCAAAACCGUUCAUCAUUCGGGAGUGGUCACCAAAAUCUUUCUCAAAUACACUUAAUCUCAUUUUUGUUUAUGAUUAACCAUGGUAGAUAUUUGUUUUGUUUCUUUUUGUUUCACAGAUCAAAGAAAAGAAGUAGAAGAAGAAAUUGGUCAAAACCUCGCUUCCUCAACAACCUCCGCCGCCGAUUCAAAUCGUACAACCAGAGUAGAUCGAGAAUCCAAUCGGACCUGCCGCCGCUGAGAGACGUAGAUCCACCAUCACCACAGAAACGGAUCUUUGCCGCAAGCAAACCGUACCAAAGCUCCACCGCGAGAAACUCUCUGCUUCGAUCUCCGCUAGCCGCACACCGCCUGCAAACAGCCGCAAAUCGCGAGCUAUCAGCAACCACAGGACGACCACCACGACUCCUCCCAUCCGAACCUAAAAUUUGGAAAAGAGUCUCUAAAAGAAGAGAAGUAACUGAGAGUUCUUGGUUGUUGUUUUGGUCCAUUUACUCUUUCACGUGAUGUAUAUGUGUGGAUGAUGUUGUGUUUUAUUUUUAUCCCUAUGCCACUUGUUACUAUACUAAUGGUUCAUGUGAAUACCUUGAAAAAGUCAAAAGAGAAGCAUACUGUCAAAUGAUGCAUGCAGCAUUUUACUCCAUUCA
Long non-coding RNA from Vicia villosa (hairy vetch), 928 nucleotides. RefSeq lists it as uncharacterized. NCBI's taxonomy places the organism in Eukaryota, Viridiplantae, Streptophyta, Magnoliopsida, Fabales, Fabaceae. The record is from RefSeq and is a predicted model, not a curated record. The transcript is spliced from 2 exons.